ACCUCCCGAAACUAGACGAGCUACUCUAAAACAGCCAAAUAGGGCUAACCCAUCCAUAUUACAAAAUGGUGGAAAGAUUUUAAAGUAGAGGUGACACACCUAUCGAGCCUAGAGAUAGCUGGUUAUUCAAAUAAACGGAUUUAAGUCCAACUUUAAGCUAUUUUAGUAUCACUAAACAACCUAUAAACUUAAAAGCCAUUCAAAUAAGGUACAGCCUAUUUGAAAAAGGAAACAACCUAAAAUAUUGGGUAAUGUCUAAACAAGUGGCCAAGUAGGCCUAAAAGCAGCCAACUUCUAAAAAGCGUCCAAGCCUCACCACAAAUAUCUUUAAUCCCCGCACCUAUACACAACCCACAACCACUACUGAAUGACCCCAUACGCAUAUGGUUAACAAUAUGCUAGAACUAGUAACAAGAAAACGAACUUCUCCAAAAUGUAAGCGUAAGCCAAAAUGAACCCCUCACUGGCACCUACCGCCACAACAGUAUUAACCACACAAGAAAAUCCUACUGCCCUAAGCGCCAACCUUACACUAGA
Molecule: ribosomal RNA, 537 nt
Filed under: Stumpffia roseifemoralis
Lineage: Eukaryota; Metazoa; Chordata; Amphibia; Anura; Microhylidae
Description: partial 16S ribosomal RNA
Rfam family: Bacterial large subunit ribosomal RNA (bases 1-402)
Source: RNAcentral